GUGGGGAAUAUUGGACAAUGGGCGAAAGCCUGAUCCAGCCAUGCUGCGUGUGUGAAGAAGGUCUUCGGAUUGUAAAGCACUUUAAGUUGGGAGGAAGGGCAGUAAGUUAAUACCUUGCUGUUUUGACGUUACCGACAGAAUAAGCACCGGCUAACUUCGUGCCAGCAGCCGCGGUAAUACGAAGGGUGCAAGCGUUAAUCGGAAUUACUGGGCGUAAAGCGCGCGUAGGUGGUUUUGUAAGUUGGAGGUGAAAUCCCCGGGCUCAACCUGGGAACUGCCUCCAAAACUGCAUGACUAGAGUACGGUAGAGGGUAGUGGAAUUUCCUGUGUAGCGGUGAAAUGCGUAGAUAUAGGAAGGAACACCAGUGGCGAAGGCGACUACCUGGACUGAUACUGACACUGAGGUGCGAAAGCGUGGGGAGCAAACAGGAUUAGAUACCCCUGUAGUCC
This 450-nucleotide ribosomal RNA is filed under the name uncultured bacterium. RNAcentral's name for it is "partial 16S ribosomal RNA". It matches the Rfam family "Bacterial small subunit ribosomal RNA", at positions 354 to 796 of the family's 1533-position model. The record is from RNAcentral.